This 611-nucleotide ribosomal RNA is filed under the name Bacillus subtilis. RNAcentral describes it as "bacterial SSU rRNA". It matches the Rfam family "Bacterial small subunit ribosomal RNA", at positions 555 to 1167 of the family's 1533-position model. Lineage: Bacteria; Bacillati; Bacillota; Bacilli; Caryophanales; Bacillaceae. The record is from RNAcentral.
UGGGCGUAAGGGCUCGCAGGCGGUUUCUUAAGUCUGAUGUGAAAGCCCCCGGCUCAACCGGGGAGGGUCAUUGGAAACUGGGGAACUUGAGUGCAGAAGAGGAGAGUGGAAUUCCACGUGUAGCGGUGAAAUGCGUAGAGAUGUGGAGGAACACCAGUGGCGAAGGCGACUCUCUGGUCUGUAACUGACGCUGAGGAGCGAAAGCGUGGGGAGCGAACAGGAUUAGAUACCCUGGUAGUCCACGCCGUAAACGAUGAGUGCUAAGUGUUAGGGGGUUUCCGCCCCUUAGUGCUGCAGCUAACGCAUUAAGCACUCCGCCUGGGGAGUACGGUCGCAAGACUGAAACUCAAAGGAAUUGACGGGGGCCCGCACAAGCGGUGGAGCAUGUGGUUUAAUUCGAAGCAACGCGAAGAACCUUACCAGGUCUUGACAUCCUCUGACAAUCCUAGAGAUAGGACGUCCCCUUCGGGGGCAGAGUGACAGGUGGUGCAUGGUUGUCGUCAGCUCGUGUCGUGAGAUGUUGGGUUAAGUCCCGCAACGAGCGCAACCCUUGAUCUUAGUUGCCAGCAUUCAGUUGGGCACUCUAAGGUGACUGCCGGUGACAAACCGGA